This 10872-nucleotide long non-coding RNA is filed under the name Capra hircus (goat). RNAcentral's name for it is "lncRNA (ENSCHIG00010009812.1)". The record is from RNAcentral. Lineage: Eukaryota; Metazoa; Chordata; Mammalia; Artiodactyla; Bovidae.
AUGGUCAAUACUUAUCAACAGAAAGUACCUUGUCCUUCAUUAAUAGAAACAAACAGGAUGAAUAAAGAGUCUCUUGAAGAUCCAAAGGAAAUGGAUAUUGGAGAGUCUUGUGCCCCAAAUAGCGAAACAACAUCUGACCUGCCUGUAGCAAGGCAAGAGACAUCUUUAGAAGAAGCCAUAUCAGAACCUUUGCAGAAAUGUGUUUCCUCUCCUCAGAUGGAGUCAGACAGAAACAUGAAAACAUGGGAGGACCUACGAGGUUCAGAGAAUUCAAAUCCUGCCCUUUCAAGCAGAGAGGAGUUACCGAUGAAUAUAUCAGAAAUGCAAAGAUGCUUCUCACAGGGGAAUACAGACAGAAAAGAUCUUCUUGAAAUUGUUCUGGAGUCUUCUGACGUCAACUUGUUCAUUCCCCUAGGAACCGAAAAGCAUAAAAGCAGUGGACAACCAGCAGUUGUAGAAAUUCAGGAGAGGCCAGAGGAUGUAACUGAGAAGGAAAAAAACGCAUUAAGAGUUCACGUGAUGGAAAAUGACAUAAGCGGAAGUGAGGAACUCGAAUGCAACACUAGAAGCAACAUUAACAAUAUGCAAGAGGAACGAAUAUCUCCUGCGUUUCAUGAGGCCACUCACACUGCCCUUUCUUUACCACCUCGUAUGAAAAUGCAGAGUGGAUUAAAAACCAAGAUGGAUACAUCAGAAAUAGGACUUAGUUUUUCUGCAGUAAAGCCAGACGAAUUACCAGAUGACAGGAAAAUAUAUUUUUCCUUUGAGAAGAACUGUCUAGUUAAAAAACCACAAGAAGACAACAGAGAGGAAGAACAACAGGCUCCACAAGAAGCAGCUUUGCAGCUAACGCCAGGUUUCAGNNNNNNNNNNNNNNNNNNNNNGAAGCCCACGUAUGUCCAAUUGGAACCAGGACAGAAUAGUUCAAAAGGUCGAACCACUCAAAAUAAAGACCUCGGUGUUUACCCACAAACUCUCUCUACAGAGACAACUGUGGAGACUAACCCACACCCCAUGAUGGAUCCAUUUCAAGUUGAGGUGAAGCAAAGCACAGACAGACCUACAGGCAGGGAAACUGCAGACCCAGUGCAUCCUCUCACCAUGUCCGAGAGCUUGCCAAUUUUGACUGAAUCAACAGAAUGUGAUGUCCCUUUGGGUGGAAGCCCUGAGAAGUUCCUGGAUGCUCAGACUGCAGAAGUAAAGCAGGACUUAGAAGGAGUUUUACCUGAAGUAGCCCUGGGGUCUUUCCAUAGGCAUAUGCCUCCUUUAUCAAAUUUGAAAAGGAAGAAAAUCAGAAAAAAAAAAUCAGGAACCACAAAUGUACUCGGUUUCAAAUGUGUGAUUACGAAAGUAAAAAAGCCACCAAAAUGUCACAGAAGAAGAUUAAGAAGCAAUUUCAAAAUCAUGAUUAAACUCAUACUUCAGGAUAAAUCCAUGGCAGAUAUGCUUCUGAAUGUUACUGACCCUUGUCUGUCUAUUUUGCCCCACGUUAGAAUGCACAGCAGGUUAAACAUAGGGAAUCACGGUCAUACCGAGCUAAAACAAGAGACAUCAGAAGCUGAAAGAGAAGAAGACUAUUUAGAUAUCAUUAAUAAAGGAAGUGACUCUGGAAACACAGUAGAAGCAGCUCGGUUGCAGGAGGAAGUGAGUGGGGACCAGGAAGCUUCACCAGAAGCAGUCCUUGAGGAUCGCUGGAACCUCAGAUUGGAUGAAGAUCCAGAGAAAGAGCUCAAAUCCAUGAAAGAAAUGCAACAACCAAUCACAUUUGCAGAAGUCACGGCAGAGUCUAUUCACAUGGCCACAACAGGCCCAGUUCAUGUUGAGAAUAUGGAGAAAAGCCUGAUAGCACCCACAGAUUUAAGAUGCACUGAAGAUGAUUCCGAGAUAUCUGCUCCCACAUCAGAAAAAUCACUGAUUGGAGACCCUUUAAACCAAACAAGAGAAAGUGAUGUACCAGAUGAUGGAAGUGAUACCAGGGAAACAGGUUACUGUUUUGCAGCAAUGAAGGCGGAACGACCCAAAGAUUUACCAGCAAUGUUCCCAAAGACUUUUAAUUGCCACAUGCCUGUCUUAUCUCAUUCUAAAGUGAAGAAAACUAGAGUAAGAUUUUCACACAUAGAAUGUAGAGUGAACUCCAAGUCUGUACCUAUGAAGGCACUGAAGCCAUCCAUUUCACAAAUGUGUGAUAUCACAGGUCAUCAAAGAAAGAAACUGGAAUCUGACUUUAAGGCCAAGCUCAAAAAGAUCGGCCAAGCUAAUGGACUGGAAUAUGAAUUUCUAAACACCCUUUACUCUCCUGUGCAUAGCAGGUUAUCAGGAGCGAUAAAGAGCUUCUCCCAUGUUCAACCAAAGCUCCGGGGUCUAGCCGUUGAAGACAGACCACUGUAUGUUGAUUUUUUUGAUGAGAGAAAUGCACUCUGUGACAGAGAUGAAAAAGGACAAGAUGUAGAGGAAAAGGAGCAAAAGACUUUGCUAAUAACAGCUCCGCAGCAUACCCAGUACCUCUGGAUCAAUGGAUGUCGAGGAAAGGAGACUCACCUUGCUGAACCAGAUGCAGGCCUGCACCGUUUAACACAGGAGCAAGAUACACAGCACCAAACAUGCUUUAAACAAGCUGCUUUGCAGACUGAUGUCCAGAUGGGUCCUCGAGAAGCUAAGGAACUCCUGAAGACCAAGAAACCAGAAGAUGACCUAACAGCCCCUGCGGGUCUGGAGNNNNNNNNNNNNGAGGCAGGGAACUCACCUGUGAAACUUUUGAACAUUCCAACAGAGUGUGGUGUAGCCUCUGGUGGAAAUCUUACAAGGGAACGAGGUUCUUAUUCUGUGGAUAAAAAUUCAGCGUUACCAGAAAGUUUGCAAGUGACCUUCUUGCAGUCUUCUGAUUCUGUUGACACUUUCGUUUCUAAAUCUCAAAGAAAGAAAAACACACUAAAAUUAGCAACAAAGCAAACAACAGUGAGUCGUAGAUACAGAGCUAUGAGAGAACAAAACCUAUACACUCUGUGUAUGCUCCCUGACAGGCAGAGAAAUGCAUUGCAAUGCAAUUUUCAAAUGAAGGGUUUACAGCAAAAUAAAAACACAGGAGAUAUGUGUUCACCUGUCAUUCUCUCCAGGGUGCCUGUUUGGCCCAACACCAAAAUGAGCAUCGGAUUAAAUGUGGAGACAGAUACCCAAAGGAUAACAAGGCUUGAUCAUACGCAAAUGCAAGAGAAAUCACCCAAUGAAAGAAAAGUAUGUUGCCCAGCUUCUGUGGAUAUGAGUACUUUACCUAACAGUGUGAAAGACAGGAAGGAGAAGGGGGCAGGGGAACAAGAUUUACCAAUUCCAGAGAGUGGCCAAGGCUUCAUAUUUAGUACAUAUCAGGAGCAGGAUCAUGACCUUAUCAAAUCAGAUGAGGGGCAGAAACAAAUAGGAAGUAUAAAUAUCCAUGUACAACCACAAACACAUUUUGCAGAAAGUAUUUUGAGCUCUGCUUCAUGCCCAACAUUGGAUCCAUUUCAACCGAGAAAGCUAGAGAGCAAUGCUAGGUUUUUUCCUCCAACGUCAGGAGAAGCAAAGUUUGAUGAAAAAAUAUUUUCUGCAAGAGAAGGUGGUGUUCCAUCUGAGGCAAACCAUCAAAAGGAACAAGCUGGUGGAACUGAAAAGGAAGAGAAAGUGACUUUAGAUUUCUGCAUGGCUGCUUUAUCUCUAUCCAAAGGCAAGAGAAACUUCAAACAAUAUUCAGACAUGAAAAUCUUGAUGAAUUCCAAAUAUGGAAUUUUAAAAGCAAAGAAACCACCCAUUUCACACAUGCUCAAUAUCAAGGGUGGUGCUAGACGAAAUCGCAGGAAAGAAUUGCGAUAUAACUUGAGCACCAAAAUGGGACAGGUAGGUCAGGGUACAAAAAUGGCAGAGGGCAGGGACUCCCUCCUGAACAUCAUCUCUGCCAUUAAUAGAUAUAGUGACCGAGAAGGGGAAAAAGACAUGUUAGGAGAAAAAAGACUCAGUUCCGAACAAGUAAUGCAAAAUAUACCCCCACAUGAAGGGAAUAUGACUCCAGAUCACCCCAAAGAAGGUGAUCUUCAAGAUGAAGAAAGUGAACAGGAGAUGUUACUAAAAGUAAUUCCACAGCACAGCCAACAUUUCAUACUCUGUUCAGACCAGACGAAGGAGCUUGAGCUUCACAAACCAGGAAACAAAGGAUGUGGGGAAACUCUGUUUUUUACCAAACAGGACAUCCCCCAGCGCACACCAGAUCCAGUGCAGGCGACACAGCCAAAGAGCAGCCAGCAGACACAAAACGGCACAGUGUGGUCAGCGAGUUCAAACCUUCCUCUUCUAAAGUCAAACGAAUCACUAACCGGUCAAGUUGUAAUUGAUACAAUGAAAUGUGACGUCCCAAGUGAUGAGAGCCACAUGGGAGAACUGGAUGAUCAUGGUAAAGAGGAAAAGUCAGAGUUUAAAGAAGAUCUACAAGCACCUGUCCCUGAGUCUUCAGCUACUGCCACACCUGAUCCCCCUGACCCUAAACAGGGGAGAAAGACAUUUACAUGUAGAGCCUUAAAAAGUAAAAUGAGUCCCAAGUGUGUUGUUAUGAAGGCAAGAAAGGCACCAGUGUCACAGAUAUUUAACAUCCCUGGGAAUGGCUGUCUGAAAACCCUCCCUUCAAAAGCCCUGCGAUCACAGAUCAUUGAGUUUUUGAUUGAGAUAAAAUCCUCUGGGGCGCUAGAAGAUGUUACUGCAGAGAGGAAGGAAGGAGAAGCCCAAGAAUUGCUGGCAGCAAUGCUGGAGUUCUGGGAGGCAGCCACACUUGCUUUACCUGUGUUGAAAAGAGAGAGAAACCACUCAGAACUUACAGACAAGAUAAAUAAAAUGAGUCCCAAAUGUAUCACUUUGAAGGCNNNNNNNNNNNNNNNNNNNNNNNNNNNNNNNNNNNNNNNNNNNNNNNNNNNNNNNNNNNNNNNNNNNNNNNNNNNNNNNNNNNNNNNNNNNNNNNNNNNAAGAGAGAGAAACCACUCAGAACUUACAGACAAGAUAAAUAAAAUGAGGCCCAAAUGUAUCACUUUGAAGGCAAAGAAGACACCGAUUUCCAAGACAUUUAAUGUCACAAAAUGUGGUGUGCCAAGCCGUGGUAGGCAAUUUGAAGGCAAGUUCAAAACCAUGAGGAAACAAGGUCAGCCACUGGCAGUAGCCACGCCGAAGGCCACUUCCUCUCCCAUGUCGGUUUCACUGGACAUGAAGGUGCAUAACAGAACCAAAGUAGAGACAGACAUGCCGGGGAAGACGAGGUUCCAUCCUGAGCUACAACGGCAAGGGCACUGGCCAGAUGGAGGGGGAGCCUCGUGUCCCCGUUCUAGGGCCGAGAGGGAAAAGGCCAGGAAGGAACUCAAAGGCCACGGUAGAGAAGCGACGCCUCGGAAUUUCCAGCACCUCACUUCCAGUGCUCACCAUAUUAAGGAGGCUCGCUGUGUGAAAUCUGAUCUCAAACGGAAGUAUUCAGCAAGGGGAAAAAUCCCAGAAUCACUAACCAUAGCGGAGGAGCUGCAACAACGCACGUUUUUUGCACAAAGUGUCUUGCAUUCUGUGUCUUCCUCUAUUUUGAAUUCACUUCCAUCUGAGAAGGCACCAAAAAGGACAAAAACACAGAGGUCAAGGAUUUUAUCUCCAGCGACAGACAAAUCACUCGGCGAAUCUUUAGCUGUUAAAGUACCAAGUGACGUCCUGCCUGAAACAGGCCCAGCAAAGGAACCUGCUAGUUCUAGUCCAGAGGGAAAGAAAGAAUUACAAACGGAUUUACAAGGCAGAGCCCUACAGUCUUUCGGUAUCUCCAGGCCGGAUUCAUCUGAAAUUAAAGGGUUGAGAAAUGUAGCACUGAUCCCUACGUCUCCAGCUGGGGAAGCCCAGAUGGCAUCAGUUUUGAAGACAACUAACACCGCUAGUCCCAGUGCCCCCAGCCAUGGAAAGGAACUGGUCUACACCUUUGAUAACAUGGCCAAAGAGUUAUCUCAGAGUAUGUCAAAUAUAUUUAUGAAUACUUCUUUUUCACCUACACCUGUUUCACCUGCCACCAAAACACAGAAAAAACGGAAAGCCAAGAAAGACCCAGUCGAAGUCAGUAUUAUACAGCUAAAACCAGAGGACAGGAAACGAGUGUGUAAAAGGUGCAGCGCCUUGGGCACCACAUCUCAGUCAGGACGGCAAAAUGAAAGAGAGGGCAAGGAAGUUGCAUUCAAAACAGAAAGUAGAAAAGAUGAAAAUAUGCUUAUUACAGAGCAAGACAUGCAGCAGCAAACACUAGUUUCAGAAAAUAUAUUGGAGUCUACCUGUUCUCCUCUGAUAAUUCCAUUUCAAACUGAAAAGGUGAAGAAGAACAUCCCACCAUAUACAAACAUACUGCAUAGAAAAAGUGAAAAGAUUUCAUGUGUAAAAAGAGAGAAAGCGAUGGUCGAUGGUCUUUUAAUUGAUGAGGCAGGGUGUAGGACUCCAUCUGCUGGGAAUCCCACAAGAAGGCUGGAUGCUUCCAGUCCAGCUCCCCUACAACCUGGAGAAGAGAAAGACAUAAAAACUCAAAAAGUAACAAAAUACGCAGCUGAUCAAAAUAUCCCACUUCCCAAGUCAGGAAUCUCAGCGCUUGGAGAUUCACCUAUUGAAAGCUGUAGAAGGAAAGUGGGUGGUUCUAUUGUCAAGAAACAUAAAGAGUUGCAAAGAGAUUUACUAACAAUAUCCACAACGUCUGUUUUGUCUGAAUCUAGAAGGCAGAAAAAAGCGCUAAAAUUUCCAGAACGGAAAGAUCUUAUGGGUCCCAGAUAUACAACCAUGAAGNNNNNNNNNNNNNNNNNNNNNNNGGUGCUUAAUAUCACUGAGCAUGGUCAUCAGUACUGUGAAAAGAAACAGGAAUGCUAUUUAAAGUCUGUGAUAAAAGACAGGCAACAACAUAAAUGUAUAGCUGAUGCAUUUUCAUCUCUCACACCUGUUUCAAUGGAUAACAAGAUAGAUAUUGAAAUUGAUAGCACACUCACCACAGGGACAGAUCAACCAAGAGUACAAACACACAACCACACCUGCCCAGAGCUAGAGAAAUCACUGAGUGUUGGGGAAGCAUGGGAGGCCAAUUUGAUUGAUACACAAAGCAGAUCCAGCAACACAGGGGGAGUGAGUGUGCCACAUGAGAAGGAAGAGGAAAACAUCCCAGAAAUAUCAGCAGAAUCAGUUCCACACGAGAGCCAACAUCUCCAUUUCACUUCUCAUCAUGUGAAAAAUCUUGGCCCUUGCAAAUCAAAACCUAAACUGGAUAGUUCAGAAGUUAGAAGUACUUGGGAUCUGUCUUGUGCGGCACAAAACAUGAGGCAAGAAGAACACAUUAGAAAAACUAUUUUAAAGCCUGUCUCUAAAAGCGUGAUGACUUUAAUUCGAGUCCAAACACUGAAGAAAGUUCUUCACACUCAAGAGGAAAUCCAACACAUGGCAGAUCUAAAGACCCCAUUUCCAGAAGCUAGGAAAUCAGAGACUGGUUCCUUACACUGCGAUGGUGUCUGGGAUGGAAAUCCUACGAGGAAACGAGAUAAUCCUAUUUUUAAGAAAAAGGCAAGGAGUCAGAGUGACUUACUGGGAACAGUCUUAAAGCCUUUAGGUUUCUCCAGCCUUGAUUCAUCUGAACCUGAGAUCCAGAGUCAUACAGCAGAGGCUGUAGGCGAGAAAAGCACAAUGAGUCCCAAGCAGGCAGCUCUGGAGGCAGGGACGCUACCAGCUUUACAGGAGCUUGAUAGCACGAGGUGUCUUACCGGAAACCAUAGAGAGAAAAGCCACAAACUGAAGACCAAGGCAAGAGAGAAGCGAUGGAAUGAAGGUGCGAGAGAGACAUUAUUCCAUGCCAGUGAGGGAGCUAAGAGUCCACCAACCACGUUAGUGACUGAUAAACUCUCAUUUGAUACAGCAGUGAGGGACAGUCUGGAUAACCAUGGAACACUUCACAAAAAUCUAGGUGAUUUUGUUACAGAGAAAAAGGCAGAGCUGGACAAAAACUUAGCCACAGUUCUCCUGGGGCCUUUCGAUUUAUUCAUGCCUGUUUUAUCUGACUCUGAAAGCCAGAUAAACACAGUGCAAGAGAANNNNNNNNNNNNNNNNNNNNNNNNNNNNNNNNNNNNNNNNNNNNNNNNNNNNNNNNNNNNNNNNNNNNNNNNNNNNNNNNNNNNNNNNNNNNNNNNNNNCUCUGAAAGCCAGAUAAACACAGUGCAAGAGAAAAUCAUACCAAAACGCAAAUGUUCGGUGAUGAAAAAAAAGGAGCCACUCAUUUCACAGCUACUUAAAAUCAGUAGACAAUCUGCCACAAAACAGAGGACGAAAUUUAGAUCCAAGGUAGAAACCAAAAUGAAAGAGAUGCACUCAGGUAAAAAUGCAACUGAUAUGUAUACAAAUGCCACUUACUUCAAAGUGGAUACCUCCAACAUUAGAAGGCAAAGCAGAUUCCAAACAGAGGCAGACAGAAUAUCAGGGNNNNNNNNNNNNNNNNNNNNNNNNNNNCAGCUGCCAGUCGAAGACAGAGUGGUUUUACAGUCACGUAAUGCCACAGGUCCUGCUGCUUUAAGCAUUAACAAAGAACAGGAGAUAGACACACACACAGAGAAAGCUGUGUUAAACACAGACCUAAAAUCUACAGAUGCUUCUCCAUCUAUUCCACCACAUACAAAAAUGGAGCAGUCACCUAACACCUCGAGUAACUAUGAAGAAUCUUCUGAAAAGAGAAAUGCCCUAAAGAAAGCAAAAGGUAUGGAGGAAAAAGAGUGUGAACAACAGGUCUUGUCUGGAACACCUUCACAAUAUACCCAGUCACUUGAGUUUCUACAAAAGAAACAGCAAGAACUAUGUGUCUCAGGAAACAUCCAGAACUCUGCUUAUGCUUAUACACCUCCAUACCCCCAAAUCCUAAACCAUCAAGCUAAUGCGAAAGCAGCAGGUGUAGAAAGCACUGUGCCUACUGAACAGGUAAAAUCAAAGGCAAAGAAACCAUUUGUUUCCCUGAUGUAUAACACAGCAGGGCAUGGAACCCGAAGCCAUGAAAAGGAGACAAGGUUUAACACCAAGAAGCAGAAGCCAGGGUUCCAGCAAGAUAAAACUGAGGUAGAAUUCUCUCUGAAAACUAUCUGUGACCUUGAGUCUAUUCCACCUCAAAUUCAAGAGUUGAUGGAAGCGGAAAGGGAGAAAGGCAAGCCACCAAGGCCAGAGAAAUCGCUGAACACAAGACAAAUAGCAUUUUCACAGUCUCUUGCUAAGAGUGCCAAAUCCAGAAAUAGGAAAACCCCGGGACAGUGUAUCAGAAAGCAAGAAGAAAAUUGCCAAAUUGCUUCGCUGGACCUCUUCCCACAGUGUAGAUAUCGAUUCGUGAUGAGACAGCAACUGAAGAAGAGCCCCACCCAUGUCAAAUACACAGUAAAUUUGAAAAGAGAAGCACAUCCUGCUCAACCUUCACCAAAGAGAGCAAGCUGCUCCACCACAUUUGACAUCUCAAGAGUGAGAGUACACACACAGCGCCAGCGCCUCAUCGCCCUGGGAGUAAAGGCGGGAGACAGAGACAAGGCCCAACCUCCAGUGUCAACUCCGCAGAGGACGGAAGUAUCUGAGAAAACAGAUAUUUCUUUAAGUUCAAAAGGACAGAAUAUGUGUCUUCCAGAGUCAGGUGCUUCUCAAGAGAAGACUUGCAAGGAACAGGAUCUGCUGAAAGAAGGAAGUAAUUCAAGGACACUGGUGGAGCCUACUUUGUACUCCAUUACGGAAACCUCUCAUUUGGAAAAUACCAUUCCAAAUCAACUGGCAAGAGAUGGCUUAAGAGAAACUGAUACCUUACAAGGUUCAAAAGGACAGACAUUUCUUUGUGCAAACGCAGAAGCCCAGCAAUAUACACCUGCAGUGGAGAUAGGAGACGUGAAACCAGAUCCCAUUCCGGAACGUCUCCUGGAUUCAGCAUCUUGCCCCAGUGGGGCACUUCAUGUGAGAGAGGCAGGAAAUGCAACACGGAAAGAAAAAGUUAGCAUCCCUGUUGUUUCAGACGUCAAUCUAUGGGAAACCGAGAUGCCAAAGUUAACGAACCUUCUAUUAACAUCAAACGAACAGAAAAUAAACUGUUCCCAAAAAGGGAGGACAGAGCAGCGAAACAGUUCUAACCAGAAGAAAGGAAAUCUUCUGGAAUUCAUUUCCUCUUGCAUAUUGUAUCAACUCCAUAUUGAAAGGCGAAAGAAAGAAAUCUCAGCCAAAGGAAUGAGUUCAGCGGUUUUGAAUCCAGUGGUCCAGAAAGCAUCAAACACAGUAGAUACUCCAGUGGAUCAACCUCCGUGCUCAGGAAGAAGAAAAGGACAUCAACACGAAAGUACACACAAGGCUCUCCCAACAUCUCUUUCUCAUUCUAUGAUGAAUAUAUUUCAGAUUAAAUUGCCAGGAGUAAUGAAGGCAACAAAGGAAGUCGAUAGUCCAAGGCACCACAGUUCAAACACAGAAGGAACUGGCUUGCCUGGUGCAGGAACAGAAGAGCAACCAGAAUGCAUACAACGUAUUUGGCCAAAUCUUGCUUCUGAUCCUUCAAGAGAUAUACUAUUUCAAAGUAAGAUGCCGUAUGAAAAGACAGUAUCGGAAGAAGUAGUUAGCACUGUGGAGUAUACUCCAAGUACAGAAGGACUUGGUUCACAUAUUACAGGAAAAGGAGGCCAGCAAGAGAAAUGCAUGCCUGAGACCCUUCAGAAGUCCACAUCUCACCCCCAAGCAGGUCUCCACCAAACUAAUAUCUCAGUGCAAGAAGUAAAGUUUGAUGACACAAGUAAGAUGCAUUCUGAAUAUUCAACUCCACAGGCUAAGGAAGCANNNNNNNNNNNNNNNNNNNNNNNNNNNNNNNNNNNNNNNNNNNAA